GAGGCUUUAGUUUAAUUUUUUAAAAAUUUAGGUUUGUCAAUUCUAAGAUGCUGGAUAGCAAGCUUCU
This 67-nucleotide transfer RNA is filed under the name Eclysippe vanelli. RNAcentral's name for it is "tRNA-Asp". It matches the Rfam family "tRNA". From Rfam's summary of the family: Transfer RNA (tRNA) molecules are approximately 80 nucleotides in length. Their secondary structure includes four short double-helical elements and three loops (D, anti-codon, and T loops). Further hydrogen bonds mediate the characteristic L-shaped molecular structure. tRNAs have two regions of fundamental functional importance: the anti-codon, which is responsible for specific mRNA codon recognition, and the 3' end, to which the tRNAs corresponding amino acid is attached (by aminoacyl-tRNA synthetases). tRNAs cope with the degeneracy of the genetic code in two manners: having more than one tRNA (with a specific anti-codon) for a particular amino acid; and 'wobble' base-pairing, i.e. permitting non-standard base-pairing at the 3rd anti-codon position. Lineage: Eukaryota; Metazoa; Annelida; Polychaeta; Terebellida; Ampharetidae. The record is from RNAcentral.